AGUGAACGCUGGCGGUAGGCCUAACACAUGCAAGUCGAACGGCAGCACAGUAAGAGCUUGCUCUUACGGGUGGCGAGUGGCGGACGGGUGAGGAAUACAUCGGAAUCUACUUUUUCGUGGGGGAUAACGUAGGGAAACUUACGCUAAUACCGCAUACGACCUACGGGUGAAAGCAGGGGAUCUUCGUACCUUGCGCGAUUGAAUGAGCCGAUGUCGGAUUAGAUAGUGGGCGGGGUAAAGGCCAGCCAAGGCGACGAUCCGUAGCUGGUCUGAGAGAAUGUUCGGCGACAGUGGGACUGGAACACGGGCCAGACUGCGACGGGGAGCAGCAGUGGGGAAUAUUGGGCGAUAGGAGCAAGCCUGAUCCAGCCAUACCGCAUGGGUGGAGAAGGCCUUGGGGUUGUGAAGCCCUUUUGUUGGGAAAGAAAAGCAGCAGGUUAAUACCCCGCUGUUCUGACGGUACCCAAAGAAUAAGCACCGGCUAACUUCGUG
Molecule: ribosomal RNA, 492 nt
Filed under: uncultured bacterium
Lineage: Bacteria
Description: partial 16S ribosomal RNA
Rfam family: Bacterial small subunit ribosomal RNA
Source: RNAcentral